RNAcentral lists this long non-coding RNA (7706 nucleotides) under Daucus carota (carrot). RNAcentral's name for it is "long non-coding RNA (DCAR_LNC006211)". The record is from RNAcentral. Lineage: Eukaryota; Viridiplantae; Streptophyta; Magnoliopsida; Apiales; Apiaceae.
UGACAUCAUCCCCCACCAUUUGCCUAUAAAUACCAAGCCUUCCCCCACCCAUUUUCUUCAAGCUAAGAGCCAAAUAUAUGCUGAGAUUUUGAAGUGAAAAUACUCUCCCAAAGUUUAUUCAAGCACCCACCAUAUUUACUUCAUCUUUAAAACCUUCGAUUCUUCAUAUACUUCGUUAUAUACACAAGGUUUUAAACCCCGAGGCUUCGUACCACCCAACCUAGCCAAAUCUCGCCUAGCUCAUUUUCAUACCACUCUCUUGUCCUCCCGAAGGGCUCUUCAAAGUUCGUGUGCAAAGCCAAAAUCCGGUCGAACCUCCGACGAAUUUUUCCGACGAACUUUUUGUAAGUGGUUAUUUUAGCUUCGUUUUACUCGUGUCUUAACCGACCAUUUUUGACAAAGGGCUUUUGAACAAAAAUAUUCUCUUCAUCUUUAAAGCUCUCCUUGUUUACAAAACACACGAGUUAGCCACUCGUUAUAUAUUUGUGCGUGUGUUUUGUCCCGGAACCUAACUCGUAUCCUUUGAGAUUUCCUCACCAAACUUUGGAGGGAUAAAUGCCUUGGCACGGAAAGCCGGAUAUAAGGCCAAAGGUAAUAAGUUAGUUAUUGUUGUGCGUGUUAUCUGUGCUUAACUGAUUAUAUCCCUACGCCCACACUAAUUAAUAUAACUCUCGUAGCUUGCCCGUACGCGGUUUGCUCAGGUUAUUAAAAUCAAUCCGACUUAAAAUCAACUAUUUAUAUUUUCCGCGCAAUAUAAAUUGUUGGACUGUUGUUGGACACUUGUUGGACUAAUCACCGUUGGACUUGUUAUAAUUGACAAACCUUAUACCUGACCGUGAUUAUUGGACUUACUUAGCGGACUAAAAUCUUAUUAAAACAAGGAUAUAUUUUCGUAGAUAUUGUGUUCUAACUUUUGCAGUGAGGUGAAGUGAAGUGAGGUGAUCUUCGUUCUAAGACCCAAGUCCUUGACGUAUUGACGGGGAGUUAAUUGUCAUUGCACCGUGAAGAAGAGGAAAGACCCGAGAUCUAAAACCUAAGACCCGAGACCGGCAAAAGGUGUAGAAGUACAAAGACUACACAAGGUUCUACAUCGACUUUGAGGAAGUAACGGGGAGUUACGUUCCGAGACAAGCUUUGUAGCUGUUUUUACAUUUAUAGUGAGGAGGUAACGGGAAGUUACGCUCCAAGAUAUAUAUCUGUAAAGGCUUCUCCGCCUACUUUAAAGGAGUAUCUUUUUAGUAGAGAAAAUCUCGAGUCCGGGGAGGAGCUCGGGGACUGGACUAGGGGUGAGUGGACUCCAUCGGUUGAGUUAGCCACCGCGAACCAGGAUAAAAUCCCUCGUGUGGUAUUUUUCUUUCUUUGCUUUUUGCUUCCGCAUUUGCAACUGCCUUUACUCUAGAUACAAGCUUUUAAAAAGGGGAUAAACUUUUUAAAACGCCAUAAAGUUUUUAAACUGGUGAUUAAGCUAUUCAACCCCCCUUCUAGCUUAAAAAACAAAAGGAAUUCCUCUCUCCUCAGCACUCUUCUUAAAGGGAGUAAUGUUACUAGCCUUACCUACAGAUUUGUUAUAGUCAAAACUUAUUCCAACAGUUCUCUUGAUCUCUUGUUUAUCAUUAAGCUCUUUGAGUAUAGUGGAGGCAUCUUUAAAGGCUUUACACUUUACUUUCUCUUCGUCUAGCUGAAGUCUAAAAGCAAUCUCACCUUUCUCUAGAACUCUGACUUUAGCACAUUGUAAUCCUAAAUCCAUAGUAAGUUGUUCAAUUUUAGGUUUUAAUACUUUCAUCUCAUUCAUCUUAUAAGCAUGAAUAUCUAAGACUAAAGUAUCAAUUUUAAGAUUGGCAGCUUUCAACUUUUUAAUAGCAUCAUCUCUUUCAAGUCCUAAUUGCAUAAAAAGUUGAGGGCAUGUAGGAUCUACCUGAAAGCUUCCAGCCAGAGGAGGUGAAGAUGAUCCGGUAUUAGCCAUGAAAGCAACAUUCCCCCUAGCUGCUCCUCUUCAUCACUAUCUGUAUCAUACCAGCUUUUCCCUUCUGCCAGAUAUGAUUUGCUUUUGAAGCUUUGACCUCCAGAAGUACCCGGAUGCUUUCUUACUAAGGCAUCAUACUUCUGCUUCAGCUCGUCGUACGAAUCCUUUCUCUUUCCUAGUGUCCCGGUUCACCACAGUUGAAACAUUUAAACUUGCUUCGAUCCACCAUCCCAGUCUUGUAUCCUCCUUUGCUUGUAGAAGAUGAGUAACCUCCUUUUUGAAACCUGUUGGCAGUAGGUUUGUACUUGUAGGAGGGGUUCUUCUCGCAUCUCAUGUUUCCAAAUUUCUUGGCAAAUAGUGAUAGAGAUUGAUCUUCUAACUGUUCUAGCUCUUCCAUUGUAUAGAACUCUUCAUCACCACUGGAAGAAGCAGUCUAACCCAUCUCAGGUUAGGGUCGAGCAAAAUCGAACCGAACCGAAGUAACCGAACCGAAUCGUCCAAGUUUGGUUCGGUUUGGUUUGAAAUUUUUGAAAAUUCUGGUUAGUUCGGUUUUUGGUUUUAACCGAACAAAAAGUUCGGUUCGGUACGGUUUCUGAAAACCAAAAUUUCGGUUUAACCGAAAUAACUGAAGUUUUAUAUAUAUAAUUUUUUAAAUUAUUUAUAUAUAUAAUUAUAAUUAUAUAAUUAUUUAAGUUUGGUUCGGUCUCCGACUGAAGAAACGAUUCAAGCUCCCUCCCCUGCUUCACUUCCGAGUCAGUACUGUUGUUUUAUGUUUACUACUACUAGUUUCUUUCCUUAAUUAUUUAAGUGUAAAACAUGCCUAAAACUGAUGUCCUGAUGUGUAUGGCUAUUCUGGAAGACCGGAAUGCAUAAUAUGUUGAUGGGUGUAUUAACCACUUUAAAUGAUCUUUAUUUUAUGUAUUCUUUUAAUUUGUGCUGAUUUUUUUUUUCAAUAUAAAGUUCGGUUUUAACCGAACCGAACCGAAAAAACCGGAGUUAUUUCGGUUCGGUUCGGUUCGGUUUGAAACACAAGUACGGUUCGGUUCGGUUUCAAAAAAUAUGAAAGUUCGGUUUUCGGUUAUUUCGGUUUGGUUCGGUUUUCGACCGAACCGACCGUUUGCUCAGUCCUAUCUCAGGUACAACAAAUUCCUGAAUGGCCUUAGAAGGAACAACAACAUCCUUCUUUUCUUCCGGUGUAGGUGAUUCAACAACUAGAGCUCUUGAAUGGUUCAGCGUUUUACCCCAGCCAUAUCUCUGCUUACUCUGAACUUGCUCCAGUUCAUAAGUUUUCAAAACUCCGUAGAGUUUCUCUAGAGAAAUCUCAUUCAGAUCUCUACUUUCCCUGAUAGCAGUGAUUCUGUGUUCCAGAUGUUCAGGAAGGGUUAAGAGAAACUUCAUGUUGACCUCUUUCUUGUCAUAGUAUUUCCCAUUCAGAUUUAAAUUAUUUAUCAAAUUAUUAAGUCUGAUAAACACCUCUGAAAUCCCUUCUCCGGGACUGGAACCAAACUGUUCAUACUGUGCCAUCAGUAUCUCUUUCUUUUUCUCUCUUACUUUUUCUGAGCCUUCGUUGAUAAUCUCUAAUGUAUCCCAGAUUUACUUCGCGUUCGUACAAUUAACAACAGCAUUGUACAUGACGGGAUCUAGGGAUUCAACUAAGAUCAGUUGAAGAGUAUCAUCUAAGUUCAUCUGUUCAUUCUCUUCAUCUGUAUACUCGGAAGGUUCUUUUGGAAAUGUCUGAUGAGGUAUUAACACACCAUCCUGUUCGUGUGCUAAUAUGACAUUCAUCGGAGUAGAAACACCUUUGUUCAGAAUCCCGAUGUAUUUUCUGUUCGCAGUGCGUAGGAAUAGUAACAUGUGCCUCUUCCAUAGGCCAAAGUGUUCUUUGCUGAACGGUGGGAUUUUAAUGCUACUAAUCUUUUGUGUACUCAUUUUUAAGGAUUUAAAGUGAAUAGUGUUUGGAUGAGAUUUGGAUUACUGAAAGAAAAAUAUUUUAAAUCAGAAUUAAUUUUUGGAAUAAAAUUAAUUUGAAUAAAAAAAUAUUUGAAACAUUACAGAGUGUGUAUAGGAUCUAAUACGUUGUAUUCAUAUUAACCGCUCUUGAUGCCAAUUGUUAGGUCCAGAUACGAUUGUAGAAGGGGGGGUUGAAUACAAUCGAUACCAAAUAAUCGCGGAAGUGAAUCUGAUUGGAAUAUGACUUGUUAAUCAGAUUAUAAUUAAUUAAUAUAACAAUGUUUUAAGUCGUUAUAUAAUUAAUAUGGUUCAGUUUUAAUGUCCACUAAUGUUCGUAGAAUAAAUUCGACAGGGUAUAUUCUAGAUUAGUGAUUAAAACAACCGGGUUAUCAAAGCACAGAAAACUGUGGAUAUAACGAUCAAGCAAGUUACGAACAACUUGAAAGCUUUACAAAUGCUUUGAUUUACAAAGUAAUGAACACUUGAAAUGAAGAAUUGAAUGCGAUAUAUAUAGGCAACCAUUUGUACUUGUAAGACAAAUAAAAGACAAGACAAAUAAGCUUGCAAAGACAAAACAAGAACGGCAAGACAAUUACAAGGCAAGGGAAGACAAUUCUAGAUUGCCUAACAAGCCUAAAACAUGCCAGAAAGACAAUUUAUAUAAGGGGCAAGAAAAUUCUGAAAGGGUAAGACAAAGCUCACACUCGGCAGGACAAAUGAAUUGUCUUGGCCAUAGGAUUUUCGGUAGGACAAUCCUUUAGGAUUGUCUUGCUGCAAUCUAUGUCAUGCGGUCAGACAAUUGAGGAUUGUCUUGGCUGUUGCUUCAAUGCUUCGGUCAGACAAUCCAAUUGUCUUGCUGGAAUGCUUCAUCAUUCGGCCAGACAAUUAAAUUGUCUUGGCAGUUUGAGGAGCACUUGGCAAGAGAAUUAGAGAUUGUCUUGCAGAGUAGAUUUAAGUGUUUUGAAUGUAAUUUGUUGUUUAUAUUUAAUAGGAAAUUAUCCACUUAAUUAAGUUAAUUAUAUAUAUUCAUAAAGUAAAUUAAUUCGAGAAUGAAUUAAUUUAAUAAAUAAAUUACAUAAUUAAUAUAAUUAUUUGAGAAGUGAAAUAAUAGUCCAUUAAAUAUUUAAACGCCCAAUCUUCAGUAGAACAGCUUCCUGUCUUCUUUAAACUUUAAUAACUUCUUCUUGAUUUGUCGAACGAACGAACUACCACUUCUGCUUGACUUCAAAUAUUUAAUUUGAAUAACUGAUACACAGAUGUACUGUCUGGUUCAUCUGUAUCUAGUUAAAUCAAAUAUUCUUCAUCAAAUAAACAAUAAGAAUUAGGUUUGUUCGUCGAGUCUUCGUCUUGUAAGUUCUUCUUCAUUAAAUGGAAUCUUCUGAAUAAAUAAAGUAUAGAAACUUUAUACCUUAUGAAUUCCUGGACGUGCCAUAAAAGAUUAUUUGUUCACUGAGGCUUGAACAUAUUAAUGACCUUCUUUCAGUAGUGUGCAGCAACAUCCUGGAAUUCUUCUGACAUAUAAUUCCCAUAAGUCAUUUGACGUUCUUCGUGCGGAUUCCGAUAACUUGCUAUUUACUGUGCUUUCAUAUCUGAGUUGAGUUGUACCUCUUUAAAUACAAAUAGGCUGAACAUAUGCCUUUCAAGUCAUAUUCCAAUCAGAUUCAGUUCCGCGAUUAUUUGGUAUCGAUUGUAUUCAACCCCCCCCUUCUACAAUCGUAUCUGGACUCAACAAUUAUCUUUCAAAAAAAUUCAGAUUUGGAUUCAGAUACAGAUAUGAAUAUGUGGAUUCGACUUCGUAUUUGGAUACAGACAAAUCCAUAUCCGAAUUAUCCGUUCGACACCCCUAUUCCCCAACCCAUUCUCACUCUCUAUCACUUCUUCUUCAUCUGUCAAUAUAUACGCAUAGACAUACAAAUAGACAUACAAAUGCUCUACACGCACCAACCACCACCACUGUACCCCCACCCCGCCCCACUAUCUUCCCUCUUCAUCUAUUUAUGCAUACGCCUAUAAAUAGGGCUAUUCACGAACAGAGCUGUUCGUGAACAUGCUCGAGCUCGACUCCAUAAAAGCUCGGUUCGGCUCGGUUCGUUAAGAACUCGAGCUCGAGCUCGAACACAUAAAUUUGUUCGUUAAGAAAACGAGCUCGAGUCGAGCUUUUAGUGUGUUCAGCUCGAGCUCGGCUCGAACUCGUUCGGCUUAAGCUCGGCUCGUUAAAACUCGAAAAAAUGCAAUAUUUUCAUGAUAAUUUCGUAAUAUAUACAUGUUAUUGAACGCCGAAUUCAACAUAUAAUAUAUCAAAUCGAUCAGGAGAAUAUUAACUAUGAUAUGGUACCAUCAAAACACACUAAAAGUUUUAUUUAGCUUGCUAUUUUAAGAGUCAAGUAGCGGUUUGGCCUUAUUUUAUUCUGGCUCGACUCGGCUCGUAUUUGUUCGUGAAAAGCUCGUGUUCAGCUCGUUAGUUAACGAGCUUGAGCUUGAACACAUGUUUUUGUUCGAUAAGAAAGCUCAGCUCGGCUCGGUUCGAUAGAAAAAAAUUUAAAGCUCGGCUCGGUUCGGUCAAAACUCGGCUCGGCUCUGUUCGUGAACAACCCUACCUAUAAAUACUACUACAGAUCUGGCAUCUGUUGUGGUGGUUGUGUUGUGAUCACUAGUGAUGAUGGUGGUUACUACUAGGCUGAUAGAGGUGAUUUUCUGGUCCUUGCGUGAAAAAACAUGGUGAUUUUAUGCUAAUUAUUUAAUUUAUGUUUACUUUUUAGCGAUUUGUCGAUAAAUUUAGAGAUUUCAUACAUUGUGUUGAUGGUAUUAAUGUCGGUGAAGGUGGCUUGGUGAAGGUGAUGAUGCCGGUGAAUAUAUUUGUUAAAACGCUAGUGAUUUGUAGUUGGCUGAAGGUGAAAAUUGGAGAUUUAAUUGAUAUGGUGGUGAUUUGUUAGAGGUGUUUAUUGCUGGAAAUGACCGUCGCAAAUGAUGAUUUUUGCAGUAGUCAAAGGUGGGGAGGUGUUGAUCACUGGUGAGUGGUGGUUGAAUUCGAAAGAAGAUAACGGUCAAAUAUUGAAAUAAGAACUAAAAUCAUGAGUGGUGGUAUAUAUGAAUGAGGGGAUAUAAUUAGAUCUCAUAUCAUAUAAUAUUGGGGAUUCUCAUUGAAACAUGACCAAAUAUGAGUUGGGCUCAAUGGAGACCAAAAAAUUUGGAGUCUUUAGAGACUACAAGAUCUACCGUUAAAAUAAUCUGGCAAUUAAUGGACAUGAUUAAAUAUUUUUUGUCCUGUAUUUUCUAGUAAUGUAAUAUUAAUAAUUUACACUAUUCUUGUCAUGCAUUUCUAGUAAUGUAUUGUUAAUAUUCUUGUCAUGCAUUUCUUGUUUUAGUUUAAAUUCGAAAUUAUCUUUAUAAUUUACACCAUUCUUGUCCUGCAUUUCUAUUAAUAUAAUAUUAAUAAUUUGUCCGGCAUAUCUGUGAUAUAUCUAAAUGUUAUUUUGUCUUGCAACAAAUUCAAUUCGUUGCAGGACAAUGACAAUGAGUUCAGUGCCAAUCAUAGCAAUGUCCAACUACAUCUUUGUUUUGUAUGUAAUUAUAGUUUUUAUUUGUUAGUAUUUCGGUGAUUGAACACCAAUAUUAUGAAAUUAUUAUUUUAUGUUAUGCAGGAUUUAGAAGUUUUUGCUUGUUGCUCACCGAUUUAAAAGUGCAGGACAGGAUAGGGAGAGAAAACAAAUGUGCAGGACAAAUAUCUGCAGCCCUUGGAUGGGUAAGAAAUGGAUGGAUGUGACUAAGUCUCCAACGCCUCCACAAAAAUCAG